CGGCGGACGGGUGAGUAACGCGUGGGUAACCUGCCUCAUACAGGGGGAUAACAGUUUGAAAUGACUGCUAAUACCGCAUAAGACCGCAGGAUCGCAUGAUCCGGUGGUAAAAACUCCGGUGGUAUGAGAUGGACCCGCGUCUGAUUAGCUAGUUGGUGGGGUAACGGCCCACCAAGGCGACGAUCAGUAGCCGACCUGAGAGGGUGACCGGCCACAUUGGGACUGAGACACGGCCCAA
RNAcentral lists this ribosomal RNA (238 nucleotides) under uncultured bacterium. RNAcentral describes it as "partial 16S ribosomal RNA". It matches the Rfam family "Bacterial small subunit ribosomal RNA", at positions 96 to 334 of the family's 1533-position model. The record is from RNAcentral.